RNAcentral lists this ribosomal RNA (431 nucleotides) under uncultured bacterium. RNAcentral describes it as "bacterial SSU rRNA". It matches the Rfam family "Bacterial small subunit ribosomal RNA", at positions 340 to 786 of the family's 1533-position model. The record is from RNAcentral.
UACGGAAGGCAGCAGUGGGGAAUCUUGCGCAAUGGGCGAAAGCCUGACGCAGCCAUGCCGCGUGAAUGAUGAAGGUCUUAGGAUUGUAAAAUUCUUUCACCGGGGACGAUAAUGACGGUACCCGGAGAAGAAGCCCCGGCUAACUUCGUGCCAGCAGCCGCGGUAAUACGAAGGGGCUAGCGUUGCUCGGAAUUACUGGGCGUAAAGGGCGCGUAGGCGGAUCGUUAAGUCAGAGGUGAAAUCCCAGGGCUCAACCCUGGAACUGCCUUUUGAUACUGGCGAUCUUGAGUAUGAGAGAGGUAUGUGGAACUCCGAGUGUAGAGGUGAAAUUCGUAGAUAUUCGGAAGAACACCAGUGGCGAAGGCGACAUACUGGCUCAUUACUGACGCUGAGGGCGCGAAAGCGUGGGGAGCAAACAGGGAUUAGAUACC